UACAGAGGGGGGCAAGCGUUAUUCGGAAUUAUUGGGCGUAAAGGGCGCGUAGGCGGCCUGGCAAGUGGAAGGUGAAAUCCCUCGGCUUAACCGAGGAACUGCCCUCCAAACUGCUUGGCUUGAGUCCGGGAGAGGUGAGUGGAAUUCCCAGUGUAGCGGUGAAAUGCGUAGAUAUUGGGAGGAACACCAGUGGCGAAGGCGGCUCACUGGACCGGAACUGACGCUGAGGCGCGAAAGCGUGGGGAGCAAACGGGG
This 255-nucleotide ribosomal RNA is filed under the name uncultured bacterium. RNAcentral describes it as "partial 16S ribosomal RNA". It matches the Rfam family "Bacterial small subunit ribosomal RNA", at positions 524 to 777 of the family's 1533-position model. The record is from RNAcentral.